AGUGAACGCUGGCGGUAGGCCUAACACAUGCAAGUCGAACGGCAGCACAGGAGAGCUUGCUCUCUGGGUGGCGAGUGGCGGACGGGUGAGGAAUACAUCGGAGUCUACUCUGUCGUGGGGGAUAACGUAGGGAAACUUACGCUAAUACCGCAUACGACCUACGGGUGAAAGCAGGGGACCUUCGGGCCUUGCGCGAUUGAAUGAGCCGAUGUCGGAUUAGCUAGUUGGCGGGGUAAAGGCCCACCAAGGCGACGAUCCGUAGCUGGUCUGCGAGGAUGAUCAGCCACACUGGAACUGCGACACGGUCCGGACUCCUACGGGAGGCAGCAGUGGGGAAUAUUGGACAAUGGGCGCAAGCCUGAUCCAGCCAUACCGCGUGGGUGAAGAAGGCCUUCGGGUUGUAAAGCCCUUUUGUUGGGAAAGAAAUCCAGCUGGCUAAUACCCGGUUGGGAUGACGGUACCCAAAGAAUAAGCACCGGCUAACUUCGUGCCAGCCGCCGCCGUAA
RNAcentral lists this ribosomal RNA (506 nucleotides) under uncultured bacterium. RNAcentral's name for it is "partial 16S ribosomal RNA". It matches the Rfam family "Bacterial small subunit ribosomal RNA", at positions 29 to 523 of the family's 1533-position model. The record is from RNAcentral.